GAUGAAGAACGUAGCGAAAUGCGAUAAGUAGUGUGAAUUGCAGAAUUCAGUGAAUCAUCGAAUCUUUGAACGCACAUUGCGCCCCUUGGUAUUCCAUGGGGCAUGCCUGUUCGAGCGUCAUUUGUACCUUCAAGCUCUGCUUGGUGUUGGGUGUUUGUCUCGCCUCUGCGUGUAGACUCGCCUCAAAACAAUUGGCAGCCGGCGUAUUGAUUUCGGAGCGCAGUACAUCUCGCGCUUUGCACUCAUAACGACGACGUCCAAAAGUACAUUUUUACACUCUUGACCUCGGAUCAGGUAGGGAUACCCGCUGAACUUAAGCAUACCAUAAGCGGAGGA
Molecule: unclassified non-coding RNA, 336 nt
Filed under: soil metagenome
Description: partial contains 5.8S ribosomal RNA, internal transcribed spacer 2, and large subunit ribosomal RNA
Rfam family: 5.8S ribosomal RNA (bases 1-120)
Source: RNAcentral